Molecule: long non-coding RNA, 1295 nt
Organism: Metopolophium dirhodum (rose-grain aphid)
Lineage: Eukaryota; Metazoa; Arthropoda; Insecta; Hemiptera; Aphididae
Exons: 4
Source: RefSeq, a predicted model, not a curated record
AAUUUUGUCUAUUACUUACAAUUUUAUUUUAUUGGUGAAAUAUUUUAUAUUUUGUAAUGGAUCGUUACAUAAUACAAUCAUUACUAAAGACCAAAAGAGUUCGUCUAUACAAACGGAUGAAAACGUUGAUGAUCCGAUAACUGGUACCUACUGACAUUUCACCAACAUCAACUGAAAAUGUACCACAAAAUUGUUCACUGUUUCUAUACUUAUUUGACGAAUUUUACAAACUGUUAUCGACCAAUGGUAAUAAAAUAAUGGCAUCUUGUGUGACCUGUCAUAAUAAGAUAAGUGCGUCAACGAAAUCGAGUGGCAACUUAUUAAUCCAUAUUAAAACUCAACAUCCAGUAUUAAUGCCGAAAGUUGAAAUACCCAGAAGUAAGAAAAGUUCAAAUGUUAUUCAAACCAAAAUUGUUGAUGUUCGUCCAAAAAAAAUUUAUAAAGACAUGGUGAAGGAUUUAGUAUUUGAAUAUAUUGUGAAUGAAAUGUGACCAUUAAGAACUUGUGAAAAAAAAAUUUCAAAAGUUUAAUUUUAGGACUUACUGGAUCAAAUGAUGCUAUAGUUCCACGCAGAAAACAGUUAUCAAAACAAUUAGAUUUAAAAUAUGAACUAUACGUUUCAAUGCUAACUGAUUUAAUAGCAAACAUGAUUAUAUUUGUGCAACAGCCGAUAUAUGGAGUGCCAAUAACCGUAGUUGCAUGGUAUGACUUGUCACUUCAUAGAUGAGAAAACAUAUUUUUGGCAAUCAUAUGUCAUUGGUUGUAUACGCAUUAAAGGAAGCCACAACUAUCAAAAUAUUACUGAGGUUAUAACAGAAAUUGCAAAAACGUACAAAAUUGAUUUUCUAUCAAAAAUAACACAUAUUGUCACAGAUAAUGCUUCUAACUUUGGUAAAGCAUUCAGAGUGUUCUCUUCUCUUCCAACUCAUGAAGCAAGUACAAGUAAUUUGGGGAAUUUUAAUGAAAAUAGUUCAGAGAGUUCAAAUUUUGAUAGUGGAUCUGACUGCUCAGACUUGGAUUCAGAAAGAGUUAAUUUGAAUAAUUUGCUAAAUGUCGAAUCAAACCUAGGUAACAAUGGCAGUUUUUUUUUACCUUAGCAUAUGCUAUGUUGUGCACAUACAUUAAAUUUAAUUGCAGCCAAUGAUAUUUCUGAAAUUUCUAAUAAUGAUUACAACAAAAUUUCUAAGUCAACUUUUAAUAAACUAUCAAACUUUUGUAAUUUGGCUAGUAGAAAUACAGCAGCAUCAGACACAAUAUAUGACGUUUGCAAGUGUAAGUUCCCAGUACCUGUGGUA